This is a long non-coding RNA of Acipenser ruthenus (sterlet), 398 nucleotides long. RefSeq lists it as uncharacterized. Lineage: Eukaryota; Metazoa; Chordata; Actinopteri; Acipenseriformes; Acipenseridae. The transcript is spliced from 3 exons. The record is from RefSeq and is a predicted model, not a curated record.
CCAAAGUGCACAACAGUCGUCAUCACAUACCGUGUAUAUGAGACCCCAGGGAAGCAGUAGUAAUAUCUGCUAUAGGAACUACACUGAGGUAUUUGCACCAAUCCCUCUCAGUGAUGACAGCAGUGUUGAAGACACAGAAGAAACUGUGAUAGGUGAUAGAGCUCAAGAAAGCCAUAUUACAAUAAGUAACAUCAUAGAAGAUUUAUUUCUUCAAGUCAAUAAUGCAGCCUGCAGUCGCUUUAUAAUUAAUAGAGCUGAUGUCUGGGAUGGAGCAAUGUUUUCGUAGAAGUAACUAUGAACCCCAGAAUUCCAUUAUGGUGAAAUUUACGGAUGACAUUGGAGUCACUGAAGAAGGAAUUGAUACAGGAGGACCAAAACGGGAGUUCCUUGGUCUUCUA